UAGGGAAUCUUCCACAAUGGGCGAAAGCCUGAUGGAGCAACGCCGCGUGUGUGAUGAAGGGUUUCGGCUCGUAAAACACUGUUGUAAGAGAAGAAUGACAUUGAGAGUAACUGUUCAAUGUGUGACGGUAUCUUACCAGAAAGGAACGGCUAAAUACGUGCCA
This 163-nucleotide ribosomal RNA is filed under the name uncultured bacterium. Its description in RNAcentral is "partial 16S ribosomal RNA". It matches the Rfam family "Bacterial small subunit ribosomal RNA", at positions 355 to 510 of the family's 1533-position model. The record is from RNAcentral.